This 406-nucleotide ribosomal RNA is filed under the name uncultured bacterium. Its description in RNAcentral is "partial 16S ribosomal RNA". It matches the Rfam family "Bacterial small subunit ribosomal RNA", at positions 29 to 526 of the family's 1533-position model. The record is from RNAcentral.
AUUGAACGCUGGCGGCAGGCCUAACACAUGCAAGUCGAGCGAGCGGCGGACGGGUGAGUAAUGUAUGGGGAACUGCCUGAUGGAGGGGGAUAACUACUGGAAACGGUAGCUAAUACCGCAUACCAUCAGAUGUGCCCAGAUGGGAUUAGCUAGUAGGUGGGGUAACGGCUCACCUAGGCGACGAUCCCUAGCUGGGCUGAGAGGAUGAGCAGCCACACUGGGACUGAGACACGGCCCAGACUCUGACGGGAGGAAGCAGUGGGGAAUAUUGCACAAUGGGCGCAAGCCUGAUGCAGCCAUGCCGCGUGUGUGAAGAAGGCCGUCGGGUUGUAAAGUACUUUCAGCGGGGAGGCGUUACCCGCAGAAGAAGCACCGGCUAACUCCGUGCCAGCCGCCGCGGUAAUUC